This is a long non-coding RNA of Chenopodium quinoa (quinoa), 1537 nucleotides long. RefSeq lists it as uncharacterized. NCBI's taxonomy places the organism in Eukaryota, Viridiplantae, Streptophyta, Magnoliopsida, Caryophyllales, Amaranthaceae. The transcript has 4 exons. The record is from RefSeq and is a predicted model, not a curated record.
GUAUGGUAAGUCCUACCAGCUUUGUGAAGUCCAUCCACCACAUCAGAUUAGCUUUCCAAACGUUAGGACUUGUUGGAGCAAUGAUAGUCCCGUCAACCUGGAGCAUAUUUUAAGAAGCCAGUAAGGACCAGAGAAUGAAAUGGGUCCGACAAGGAACUGAUAUCCUGAUGGAAUCAACAUUGUUGAUGAUUGAACUUUACAAGCCGCUGCCCACGCAGCUUCGAAUGCCUGCAGUGCACAAUAACAGAACAUAUACAAGAUAUAUUUUCCCACUUUUCUAGUGGUUUUAAAUGCCAAUGAGUGCACGUGACUGGAUAUCAUCAUAUGGCUAUAAGUUUUCAAGGGCUCUGAUUGUAACAGCUCUCUAUUGAUCACAUGCAACAUUCACGGGCAAGAAUUUAUGUACUUAGUCUUCUCAACCAACAGCAAAUACGGGGCCAGAGUAUCUGGGUUGUAGCUAGAUAUGGCAUUGGAUUAGACAUGUCCGAGGCACAAGAUGACCCAACACGUAAAAAGCACGACACAUUUAUGGUGUAGGCAUGAUAUGAUAUGACAUGUUAUUAAGUGUGUCGAGUAUUGGAUUAGGCUCAAGUAGCCUUUUUUCGGAAGAAGCAAAAUAUGGCACACGCUAGGGAUGUCAAUUUGGCACACGCUAGGGAUGGGGCGGGUACAACCUUAAAUCCGCCCCUGUCCCAUCACCCAUGACGGGUAUGGUUUUCAUCUCCAUCCCCACCCUAUCACCCGCCAAAUUGAGACCCAUUGGGGCGGGGAUGGGACGGGUCUCCUACUUGACCCGCCCCACUGACAUUCCUAGUACACGCUAAAGUCAGUAAGUUAUGGUGUAGGCACACAAGCCCCCAAUGGUGGCAUGUAGGCUCAGGCUGAAGUGUUGUACACGAUGGUUAUUGAAUAAAAAAUAAACAUGUUUGGUAAAUGAAAAUUUAGGAGUGGCAACUGGCAAGUGAAAAUUUGAGACUGAGUUCUAAUUAGUAUCCCCUUAUUUACUUGAUGGCAUGUGGCCUUUGAGGAAGUAGAAAUGGAAGAAUGUUAUAUAUUUGUUGGUACAUAACAUGACAAUUCGUAAAUAUUUUAAAAAUUAACAUUAGUACCACUGAGAUGUGAAAUGUAUCAUUGUUAUUAUAAUAAUACUGUAAAUAGUUAAAAUUACACUAAAGAUUGUUACAAUGGUAUACUUUUGAAGUUAAUAAAUGUACCACUAGGUUGUGAAAUUAUUCCAUUGGAGUGUAAUUUUAUAAUAGUAUUUGUAAUGGUAUUAAAAUGACUAUAGUGGUACAAUUAAAACAUGAAAAUUAAAGUGAUAAUAUGUUGUCCCAUCACCUUUUUGUUGUACUAAGUUACCAUUAUGCCCCUGUUAUGUAUCAAUAGGUACAUAACUUUCCUCCCUUUAAAAUGCCUCGUGGUCUUUUGGAGGCAAACAAUAAAAUUGACCAAUCAUCUUACACGUCUGCUUAUCAAUCAGAUAACCCUAUUCAUAUGCUUUAUUACUAAAUUUAUUACUCUCUCCGUUUCGUAAAAA